Long non-coding RNA from Myotis davidii, 1277 nucleotides. RefSeq lists it as uncharacterized. The record is from RefSeq and is a predicted model, not a curated record. The transcript is spliced from 11 exons. Lineage: Eukaryota; Metazoa; Chordata; Mammalia; Chiroptera; Vespertilionidae.
AUGCCUGAGCCCAUCAAUCUAGCGGGAGAGAUGGGAUAACCUGUCCGACAGUAGAUCGCCGAUAGGACUCCACCGAAAAAAUCACUUGAAAAAUCUCCAAAAAUCACUUCAAGCCGAGGGCAGUCCGCGGAGCUUGGCCAGGGUUGGCGCAGUCGCUCCCAGUUCCUACCAAUUCUUACUCGACAGCUCGAAUGAUUUGAGCCAGUGGCGGCUUUAAGUAGUACUUGAUAGGUUUUGACCUUAAGGAGAGAGCCAGUUCUGGAGAACAACCUAACUUCUUUGAUUGAGCACUCACAUAAUGCACUGGAACAUGUUAGGAGAUUAAGGUUUAUAACGAUAAAAUGAAGACCAUGAUAAAACAGCCUUGUACUUAGUUCAUCAGUUCUUACCUUUCUUACCUACUUAAUGAAGAUGUCUUAUGAAAAGUGUACUUCAAGGAAUGAAAUGCUGUUUAUAAUAUAUGCUGUUACCGAGGUGGAUAUUACUAUCCCUUAUUUAUGGAAAAAGUUUUAUUCUAAGUGUUGUUUCUCAUUGAGUAUUAACUAAAAGGAAAAAAAUUAAUGUCCUAAACUUUUGAGAUAGAUUUGGUUCUAGCUAUGUGCUAUGAAGAAAAUGUUGGCAAAUAAAUAAAUUUAAACCUCUUCUGUUAAAUUUCCGUGCAAGGUGACAAGAUUAACAACAACAAAAAGAAUUCUUGAAUUUGUUGAGAGGUUUUUCUGUCAUUUUCCCACUCUUCCAGCCCCAGACCUCAAAAGGCAUAUAUUUUGACACCUAAGGCACAUGAAGAAAGGAUUGAGAUUGGAAGCUACAGACACUGUCUGUUCUGAGCAGAGUUUCUGACAAUAGACCACUGUAGCAAAGGGCAAUAAAUGCCACUGAGAAUAUCCCUCAACACAAAUCUUUACGUCUAAUUUACAUGCCUGAUCUGCUGACUUCUGUCUUUUCAUGACUAAAUUAUGGAGCGGAGGAGUUUCACAGGAAGGAUGGUAAAAUUUGUGUCAAUGGGAGGUAAUGGGCCAUAAUAUGCCAUAAGAGUCCCCCUUACUCUGCAUACUGUCUUUCAGGUAUGGCUCUUCCUUUUUUAAAAAUAGCUAAUACUUUUACAUGGUCUGGUGGAAAAAAAAGCCCUUCUCCCAUGCCUAAACCCCACUCACCGAGUUCCCUCUCCACAGGUGACCUGGAUCUUUGCUGACAAUUUCAUGGAUAUAUAAGAAAACGAGUAUAUUUUUUCACAAAUGGAAAUUAUAAAGUGGAAAUAUAUCUUUUUCAACAUUAUA